This 180-nucleotide ribosomal RNA is filed under the name uncultured Glomeromycotina. RNAcentral's name for it is "partial small subunit ribosomal RNA". The stretch from base 90 to 180 matches the Rfam family "Eukaryotic small subunit ribosomal RNA", at positions 736 to 829 of the family's 1831-position model. Lineage: Eukaryota; Fungi; Glomeromycota. The record is from RNAcentral.
GAAUCAGUACGCUGGUCGUGCCUUCGGUAUGUACUGGUGUCACUGAUUCCUCCCUUCUGAAGAACCAUCAUGCCAUUCACUUGGUGUGGUGGGGAAUCAGGACUGUUACUUUGAAAAAAUUAGAGUGUUUAAAGCAGGCAUAAGCUUGAAUACGUUAGCAUGGAAUAAUAGAAUAGGACU